CAGGCCUAACACAUGCAAGUCGAGCGCACCCUUCGGGGCGAGCGGCGGACGGGUUAGUAACGCGUGGGAACAUACCCUUUUCUACGGAAUAGCCUCGGGAAACUGAGAGUAAUACCGUAUAAGCCCUUCGGGGGAAAGAUUUAUCGGGAAAGGAUUGGCCCGCGUUAGAUUAGAUAGUUGGUGGGGUAAUGGCCUACCAAGUCUACGAUCUAUAGCUGGUUUUAGAGGAUGAUCAGCAACACUGGGACUGAGACACGGCCCAGACUCCUACGGGAGGCAGCAG
This 283-nucleotide ribosomal RNA is filed under the name Proboscia inermis. RNAcentral's name for it is "partial Bacterial small subunit ribosomal RNA". It matches the Rfam family "Bacterial small subunit ribosomal RNA", at positions 43 to 354 of the family's 1533-position model. The record is from RNAcentral. Lineage: Eukaryota; Bacillariophyta; Melosirophyceae; Probosciales; Probosciaceae.